RNAcentral lists this non-coding RNA (29 nucleotides) under Mus musculus (house mouse). Lineage: Eukaryota; Metazoa; Chordata; Mammalia; Rodentia; Muridae. The record is from RNAcentral.
UACCUACGCUAAGCUGAACUCCCCAGUGG